RNAcentral lists this ribosomal RNA (1540 nucleotides) under Klebsiella pneumoniae. RNAcentral describes it as "bacterial SSU rRNA". It matches the Rfam family "Bacterial small subunit ribosomal RNA". Lineage: Bacteria; Pseudomonadati; Pseudomonadota; Gammaproteobacteria; Enterobacterales; Enterobacteriaceae. The record is from RNAcentral.
UUGAAGAGUUUGAUCAUGGCUCAGAUUGAACGCUGGCGGCAGGCCUAACACAUGCAAGUCGAGCGGUAGCACAGAGAGCUUGCUCUCGGGUGACGAGCGGCGGACGGGUGAGUAAUGUCUGGGAAACUGCCUGAUGGAGGGGGAUAACUACUGGAAACGGUAGCUAAUACCGCAUAACGUCGCAAGACCAAAGUGGGGGACCUUCGGGCCUCAUGCCAUCAGAUGUGCCCAGAUGGGAUUAGCUAGUAGGUGGGGAGUAACGGCUCACCUAGGCGACGAUCCCUAGCUGGUCUGAGAGGAUGACCAGCCACACUGGAACUGAGACACGGUCCAGACUCCUACGGGAGGCAGCAGUGGGGAAUAUUGCACAAUGGGCGCAAGCCUGAUGCAGCCAUGCCGCGUGUGUGAAGAAGGCCUUCGGGUUGUAAAAGCACUUUCAGCGGGGAGGAAGGCGUUAAGGUUAAUAACCUUGGCGAUUGACGUUACCCGCAGAAGAAGCACCGGCUAACUCCGUGCCAGCAGCCGCGGUAAUACGGAGGGUGCAAGCGUUAAUCGGAAUUACUGGGCGUAAAGCGCACGCAGGCGGUCUGUCAAGUCGGAUGUGAAAUCCCCGGGCUCAACCUGGGAACUGCAUUCGAAACUGGCAGGCUAGAGUCUUGUAGAGGGGGUAGAAUUCCAGGUGUAGCGGUGAAAUGCGUAGAGAUCUGGAGGAAUACCGGUGGCGAAGGCGGCCCCCCUGGACAAAGACUGACGCUCAGGUGCGAAAGCGUGGGGAGCAAACAGGAUUAGAUACCCUGGUAGUCCACGCCGUAAACGAUGUCGAUUUGGAGGUUGUGCCCUUGAGGCGUGGCUUCCGGAGCUAACGCGUUAAAUCGACCGCCUGGGGAGUACGGCCGCAAGGUUAAAACUCAAAUGAAUUGACGGGGGCCCGCACAAGCGGUGGAGCAUGUGGUUUAAUUCGAUGCAACGCGAAGAACCUUACCUGGUCUUGACAUCCACAGAACUUUCCAGAGAUGGAUUGGUGCCUUCGGGAACUGUGAGACAGGUGCUGCAUGGCUGUCGUCAGCUCGUGUUGUGAAAUGUUGGGUUAAGUCCCGCAACGAGCGCAACCCUUAUCCUUUGUUGCCAGCGGUUCGGCCGGGAACUCAAAGGGAGACUGCCAGUGAUAAACUGGAGGAAGGUGGGGAUGACGUCAAGUCAUCAUGGCCCUUACGACCAGGGCUACACACGUGCUACAAUGGCAUAUACAAAGAGAAGCGACCUCGCGAGAGCAAGCGGACCUCAUAAAGUAUGUCGUAGUCCGGAUUGGAGUCUGCAACUCGACUCCAUGAAGUCGGAAUCGCUAGUAAUCGUAGAUCAGAAUGCUACGGUGAAUACGUUCCCGGGCCUUGUACACACCGCCCGUCACACCAUGGGAGUGGGUUGCAAAAGAAGUAGGUAGCUUAACCUUCGGGAGGGCGCUUACCACUUUGUGAUUCAUGACUGGGGUGAAGUCGUAACAAGGUAACCGUAGGGGAACCUGCGGUUGGAUCACCUCCUU